Long non-coding RNA from Leptopilina boulardi, 709 nucleotides. RefSeq lists it as uncharacterized. The record is from RefSeq and is a predicted model, not a curated record. The transcript has 2 exons. Lineage: Eukaryota; Metazoa; Arthropoda; Insecta; Hymenoptera; Figitidae.
GUACAGGAAAUUGUACAAGAUCUUAUAUAGGGAUUUUCAGUAGGGUGAAGUUUUAUCAAACAGUACCGUUACUGGUAAGAAAAGUAAUAGAACCAAAGAGCAAAGUGGAAAAAUAGAGCAGCUUGAUCCUAUUGUUAUUUUAGCAGUAAAAGUUUCAAAAUAUAUAUAUAUAUAUAGUUUUAUCAAUCCAAACUAAAAACAAAUUGUUUUAAAUUGAAGUGUUAUCGGUGCUAGGCUUGAAAUUGAAAGUGAGAAUAGUGCUAAUGGACAAAUUGUUUCUGAUGUCGAUCAACAUGAGCUCUCUUCUCAAGAGGAUUCGCAAAUAUCUGCUAAUAUUGAUCCACCCUCUAAUGAUGAUUUACAACAGCUUCUUGCAGACGAAAAUGUGCAACAGCUUCCUGCUGACGACAAUUUGCAAGAGAUAAUAGAUUUCGAAUUUGUUCCGUUUGAACAAAGGGCAGUAGUAACAGAAGACGUUACAGAAGCGUUACAAGCUUAAAUUAAGUUUUUUCGUUCACUGUUUUAAAAUUUUAUAUUUUGUCAUAGAUUAAAUCAUCUUUGUUUUAUAUUUUGUACUACUAUAUCGACCAUGUUAUAUCACGACAUACAACAAAAAUUGUAUGCAAUACCACAAAAGAUUUUAAGUCUAGUCAAUUAUUAUUUAAGAAUAAAAAAUAAAUGAUUAAAAAAUAUAUUUGCCAUGGAAAAA